AACGCAGCGAAGGGCGAUAUGUAAUGUGAAUUGCAGACUUUAGUGAAUCAUCGAAUCUUUGAACGCACAUUGCGCCCCGUGGUAUUCCGCGGGGCAUACCUGUUCGAGCGUCAUUACAACCUCUCCAGCUCUGCUGGGUCUUGGGGCUUGCCUUCCUGGCAUCCCUUAAAACUAGAUGCGGCGCCGCGUGGCUCUAAGCGUAGUACUUUUCUCGCUUCUGGGUCCGCUGUGGUGCCUGCUACAUAACCCCAACUUUCUAUGGUUGACCUCGAAUCAGGUAGGGAUACCCGCUGAACUUAA
Molecule: ribosomal RNA, 300 nt
Filed under: uncultured fungus
Lineage: Eukaryota; Fungi
Description: eukaryotic LSU rRNA
Rfam family: 5.8S ribosomal RNA (bases 1-113)
Source: RNAcentral